UAUGAACCUUGGGGCGAAUAAGUUGUUUCCGCCCUACAAGAUUUUCUAAGGGCGCGGUCCCUGAUCAUGGUGAGCAAGCUCACGCUUUGAACUCAAAGCAUAGUGAGAAGCCUAAAGUGGUUACUAAUCGCAUCCACCUGUCUAAAGACGGGCGGAACCUUAAAUCCACCCCAAGGUUCUUCU
Molecule: non-coding RNA, 183 nt
Filed under: Bdellovibrionales bacterium CG11_big_fil_rev_8_21_14_0_20_38_13
Lineage: Bacteria; Pseudomonadati; Bdellovibrionota; Bdellovibrionia; Bdellovibrionales
Also listed under: 2 other names
Description: 6S RNA
Rfam family: 6S / SsrS RNA
About the family: E. coli 6S RNA was the first non coding RNA to be sequenced, but its function was unknown until recently.
Source: RNAcentral